Molecule: long non-coding RNA, 985 nt
Filed under: Marmota monax (woodchuck)
Lineage: Eukaryota; Metazoa; Chordata; Mammalia; Rodentia; Sciuridae
Source: RNAcentral
GCACCUCAGACCUUAGGACCCCGACGAGGCGCGAAAUCCCCACAAACCUCCUGCCAUCCUUGAAUCUUAGUGCGAAACCUACAGUUCCCCUUCGCACUGUCCAGCAGACAUUUUCAUUUUACCUCCACGAAUCCUUUAAAUGCUUUAUUUAGUUCAUCUAUGCGCUGCUUCCUUUCAACUAAAAUGCUAGCUUUUUUAAGCUGUGCUAUCAGACCUAGGGAAUUAAACAGAAGAAUACUCUUUACAAAGAUCACACACCCAGUUACUGCCUUAAGAAUCCUCACUCAGGCAGGAAUACAAAAGAUAAUCCAUUAAUUGAAUUUUUGGGGUGUCAACAAAGAUACACGGAAGGGGACUUAGCUAUAUGAAGUGUUAUAUGACCAACAGCCUCCAAAGCCAUGUGGAAAAUAUUGAAGAAGAGGAAUUCAUAUCCUGAAAUAUUCAGGUAUAAUUAAGGGCAGAGGUGAUGUUGCACUGAACCUCAGAGUCAAAGGCUAGAUAAGAUCUCCAUAGGGAGUUCAUCUGAGCAAAAUUUGAAGGAAAACUUCAAGAGCAGGUGAUUUGGGGUAGAAAUUAGAAACAAGGUAAGUUGAGGGUCUUUGAUAUUUUCUGUCUUAAAACUUAGAUUGAGGAAUUGGAAUGUUAUGAAUGUAUAAAUGGGCUUAAGGUUUAGGGGGAAAGUGGAAUCUGGCUUUACCACUUACUUUAUGAACAAUCAGUUGUGUGGCUUUGGGCAAGUUAUUUAGUCUUUCAAAAAAUAUAACUCACUGGGCACAGAUACUCAGGAUAUUUAGGCAGGAUCUUUGGAGCCCAUGAGUUCAAGGCUUUCCUGGGCAACACAACCAGACCUUAUCUCAAGGGGGAACAAAAAAGGAGGGGAAAGAAAGAAAAGAAAAAUAAACAAUUUUAUUAUCUUAAAAUGGAACUAAUGAAAGACCUCUUUCAUGUGAUAAAAUUAAGUGAGAUAUUGUAUGUAAGCAUUACC